RNAcentral lists this ribosomal RNA (253 nucleotides) under uncultured bacterium. Its description in RNAcentral is "partial 16S ribosomal RNA". It matches the Rfam family "Bacterial small subunit ribosomal RNA", at positions 524 to 776 of the family's 1533-position model. The record is from RNAcentral.
UACGUAGGGUGCAAGCGUUAAUCGGAAUUACUGGGCGUAAAGCGUGCGCAGGCGGUUAUACAAGACAGUUGUGAAAUCCCCGGGCUUAACCUGGGAAUUGCAUCUGUGACUGUAUGGCUAGAGUGUGUCAGAGGGGGGUAGAAUUCCACGUGUAGCAGUGAAAUGCGUAGAUAUGUGGAGGAAUACCGAUGGCGAAGGCAGCCCCCUGGGAUAACACUGACGCUCAUGCACGAAAGCGUGGGGAGCAAACAGG